GACGAACGCUGGCGGCGUGCCUAAUACAUGCAAGUCGAACGAGUGGCGGACGGGUGAGUAACACGUGGGAACCUACCCAUCAGAGGGGGAUAACACUUGGAAACAGGUGCUAAUACCGCAUACUGAUGGAUGAAACCGCGGUGCAUUAGCUAGUAGGUGGGGUAAAGGCUCACCUAGGCGACGAUCUCUAGCUGGGCUGCGAGGAAGAGCAGCCAAAAUGGGACUGAGACACGGCCCAGACGCCUACGGGAGGCAGCAGUGGGGAAUAGUGCACAAUGGGCGCAAGCCUGAUGCAGCCAUGCCGCGUGUAGGAAGAAGGCCUUAUGGUUGUAAAGUACGUUCAGCGGGGAGGCGUUACCCGCAGAAGAAGCCCCGGCUAACUCCGUGCCAGCAGCCGCGGUAAUAC
RNAcentral lists this ribosomal RNA (406 nucleotides) under uncultured bacterium. RNAcentral describes it as "partial 16S ribosomal RNA". It matches the Rfam family "Bacterial small subunit ribosomal RNA", at positions 28 to 526 of the family's 1533-position model. The record is from RNAcentral.